GAUAACGUUCCGAAAGGAACGCUAAUACCGCAUACGUCCUACGGGAGAAAGCAGGGGACCUUCGGGCCUUGCGCUAUCAGAUGAGCCUAGGUCGGAUUAGCUAGUUGGUGAGGUAAUGGCUCACCAAGGCGACGAUCCGUAACUGGUCUGAGAGGAUGAUCAGUCACACUGGAACUGAGACACGGUCCAGACUCCUACGGGAGGCAGCAGUGGGGAAUAUUGGACAAUGGGCGAAAGCCUGAUCCAGCCAUGCCGCGUGUGUGAAGAAGGUCUUCGGAUUGUAAAGCACUUUAAGUUGGGAGGAAGGGCGUUUGGCUAAUAUCCAAGCGUUUUGACGUUACCGACAGAAUAAGCACCGGCUAACUUCGUGCCAGCAGCCGCGGUAAUACGAAGGGUGCAAGCGUUAAUCGGAAUUACUGGGCGUAAAGCGCGCGUAGGUGGUUCGUUAAGUUGGAUGUGAAAGCCCCGGGCUCAACCUGGGGAACUGCAUCCAAAACUGGCGAGCUAGAGUACGGUAGAGGGUAGUGGAAUUUCCUGUGUAGCGGUGAAAUGCGUAGAUAUAGGAAGGGAACACCAGUGGCGAAGGCGACUACCUGGGACUUGAUACUGACACUGAGGUGCGAAAGCGUGGGGAGCAAACAGGAAUUAGAUACCCCUGGUAGUCCACGCCGUAAACGAUGUCAACUAGCCGUUGGGUUCCUUGAGAACUUAGUGGCGCAGCUAACGCAUUAAGUUGACCGCCUGGGGAGUACGGCCGCAAGGUUAAAACUCAAAUGAAAUUGACGGGGGCCCGCACAAGCGGAUGGAGCAUGUGG
RNAcentral lists this ribosomal RNA (815 nucleotides) under Ectopseudomonas oleovorans. RNAcentral describes it as "bacterial SSU rRNA". It matches the Rfam family "Bacterial small subunit ribosomal RNA", at positions 142 to 944 of the family's 1533-position model. Lineage: Bacteria; Pseudomonadati; Pseudomonadota; Gammaproteobacteria; Pseudomonadales; Pseudomonadaceae. The record is from RNAcentral.